Molecule: long non-coding RNA, 177 nt
Organism: Vitis riparia (riverbank grape)
Lineage: Eukaryota; Viridiplantae; Streptophyta; Magnoliopsida; Vitales; Vitaceae
Exons: 3
Source: RefSeq, a predicted model, not a curated record
CUACUUCAAGCUGUCCAUGAUGUUUUUGCAAAAUUAUAUCCAACUACUGAAUCGCUUGGUCAAUUUGGAAAUGAGCUUGUACUUUUUCGAGAUGCAAAAAGAGGAUUCGGUGAUCGAGCGGCAAUUGCAUCAAGGUCAACCAUGGUGCCCGCUGAAUGGUGGUUUAUGUAUGGGAAU